RNAcentral lists this long non-coding RNA (220 nucleotides) under Gopherus agassizii (Agassiz's desert tortoise). RNAcentral's name for it is "lncRNA (ENSGAGG00000022520.1)". The record is from RNAcentral. Lineage: Eukaryota; Metazoa; Chordata; Testudines; Testudinidae.
CUUCAGGUGCCCUUGAAAGCUUUCAUCCUGAAAAUUAUACUAAAGGAGAUCAACUUUUACCUCCACUUAGCAAAAAUCCCAAUCUUUAGAGCACCAGGAUUGAAGCCCAGCUUUACUCAUUGCCACCCUUCUAAGCACUGUCUUGUGUGCCAUAAAAAACUCCGUAAAGGGUGAUAUACCAGGCGAGCGUGGUGCUGAUUCACCUCUGACACUGAGGAGA